RNAcentral lists this long non-coding RNA (481 nucleotides) under Fukomys damarensis (Damara mole-rat). Its description in RNAcentral is "lncRNA (ENSFDAG00000027763.1)". The record is from RNAcentral. Lineage: Eukaryota; Metazoa; Chordata; Mammalia; Rodentia; Bathyergidae.
AGAGGAGGGAGAAAAAUGGCGGAGUAGUGAGCGCCAGAAACUCAGCUUCUCUAGGACAAAGUGCCUGGAGUCUAGAAAACAGCUUGGAGAGGAGCCGAAGUGAGUGGAAGGUACACAGGAACCACGUGAGAACUGACAGGAAAAAAAAAAGCGGUAUUGAGUGAACGCAGAGGAAAAGACCAUCACCCGAGACCGGAAGCCGCGCCCUGUCCUGGACAGUGGCUGAGUGGCCGCCGGCUGUGCGGCAGCGAAAACGUUUCUGCUCCCAGACAGAGGGACACCUUCUCCUGGACCAGGCUUCGGAGGCAGCGAUCUUCAAAAAUGCCAAACUGAAAAAACAUCUUAUCAUACUGAUGACUUCCAGGCUAAAGUUAUCUAUGCGGUAAACUUUUUCAGGCUUAAAUGUCUGCCUAUCCCUUGCUGUUUUCCAGCUACUUAUGAUGAAAUAUACAUGCCAGCCCAGUAUGAGACAGCCAGCCAG